UAAGCAUAUCAAUAAGCGGAGGAAAAGAAAAUAACAAUGAUUUCCCUAGUAACGGCGAGUGAAGAGGAAAGAGCUCAAAGUUGGAACCUGUUUGGCUUAGCUAAACCGGGAUUUGUAAACUGGUAGAGACGUUUUCCUGACACGCCAGACAAAUAAGUCCUUUGGAACAGGGCAUCAUAGAGGGUGAGAAUCCCGUCUUUGGUAUGAGCUGUUGUCUUUUGUGAUACGUUUUCAAAGAGUCAGGUUGUUUGGGAAUGCAGCCUAAAUUGGGUGGUAAAUCUCACCUAAAGCUAAAUAUUUGCGAGAGACCGAUAGCGAACAAGUACCGUGAGGGAAAGAUGAAAAGAACUUUGAAAAGAGAGUUAAACAGUAUGUGAAAUUGUUAAAAGGGAACCGUUUGGAGCCAGACUGGCUUGAUCGUAAUCAAUCUAGGUUUCGACCUGGAUGCACUUGCGGUCUAUGCCUGCCAACGACAGUUCUUUCUGAAGGAUAAAACUAAGAGGAAUGUGGCCCCUCGGGGUGUUAUAGCCUUUUAGAUAAUACUUUGGAUGGGACUGAGGAACGCAGUGAAUGCUUAUGGCGAGAUUGCUAGGCGCUUUUGUUGAUAUAUGUCAGAAUUUCUGCUUCGGGUGGUGCUGAUGUCUAAAGAUGAAACCCGUUUGGUUAAUUUCUAUUCACUUA
RNAcentral lists this ribosomal RNA (681 nucleotides) under Mucor sp. TUFC 20003. RNAcentral describes it as "eukaryotic LSU rRNA". It matches the Rfam family "Eukaryotic large subunit ribosomal RNA", at positions 35 to 619 of the family's 3401-position model. The record is from RNAcentral. Lineage: Eukaryota; Fungi; Mucoromycota; Mucoromycetes; Mucorales; Mucoraceae.